RNAcentral lists this ribosomal RNA (767 nucleotides) under uncultured bacterium. RNAcentral describes it as "bacterial SSU rRNA". It matches the Rfam family "Bacterial small subunit ribosomal RNA", at positions 28 to 784 of the family's 1533-position model. The record is from RNAcentral.
AGUGAACGCUGGCGGCAGGCCUAACACAUGCAAGUCGAGCGGCAGCGCGGGGGCAACCCUGGCGGCGAGCGGCGGUCGGGUGAGGAAUACAUCGGAAUCUACCCAGUCGUGGGGGAUAACGUAGGGAAACUUACGCUAAUACCGCAUACGACCUGAGGGUGAAAGCAGGGGACCGCAAGGCCUUGCGCGAUUGGAUGAGCCGAUGUCCGAUUAGCUAGUUGGUGAGGUAAAGGCUCACCAAGGCGACGAUCGGUAGCUGGUCUGAAAGGAUGAUCAGCCACACUGGAACUGAGACACGGUCCAGACUCCUACGGGAGGCAGCAGUGGGGAAUAUUGGACAAUGGGCGCAAGCCUGAUCCAGCCAUGCCGCGUGUGUGAAGAAGGCCUUCGGGUUGUAAAGCACUUUUGUUGGGGAAGAAAAUCUUCCGACCUAAUACGUCGGGAGGCUGACGGUACCCAAAGAAUAAGCACCGGCUAACUUCGUGCCAGCAGCCGCGGUAAUACGAAGGGUGCAAGCGUUACUCGGAAUUACUGGGCGUAAAGCGUGCGUAGGUGGUUCGUUAAGUCUGCCGUGAAAGCCCCGGGGCUCAACCUGGGAAUGGCGGUGGAUACUGGCGGACUAGAGUGCGGUAGAGGGUGGUGGAAUUCCCCGGUGUAGCAGUGAAAUGCGUAGAGAUCGGGAGGAACAUCUGUGGCGAAGGCGGCCACCUGGACCAGCACUGACACUGAGGCACGAAAAGCGUGGGGGAGCAAAACAGGAUUAGAUA